CCUACGGGAGGCAGCAGUGGGGAAUAUUGGACAAUGGGCGAAAGCCUGAUCCAGCCAUGCCGCGUGUGUGAAGAAGGCCUUCGGGUUGUAAAGCACUUUCAGUGGGGAAGAAAGCCUUGGGGCUAAUACCCUCGAGGAAGGACAUCACCCACAGAAGAAGCACCGGCUAACUCCGUGCCAGCAGCCGCGGUAAUACGGAGGGUGCGAGCGUUAAUCGGAAUUACUGGGCGUAAAGCGCGCGUAGGCGGUCUGAUAAGCCGGUUGUGAAAGCCCCGGGCUCAACCUGGGAACGGCAUCCGGAACUGUGAGGCUAGGGUGCAGGAGAGGAAGGUAGAAUUCCCGGUGUAGCGGUGAAAUGCGUAGAGAUCGGGAGGAAUACCAGUGGCGAAGGCGGCCUUCUGGACUGACACUGACGCUGAGGUGCGAAAGCGUGGGUAGCAAACAGGAUUAGAUACCCGAGUAGUC
Molecule: ribosomal RNA, 465 nt
Filed under: Vreelandella stevensii
Lineage: Bacteria; Pseudomonadati; Pseudomonadota; Gammaproteobacteria; Oceanospirillales; Halomonadaceae
Description: partial 16S ribosomal RNA
Rfam family: Bacterial small subunit ribosomal RNA
Source: RNAcentral